RNAcentral lists this ribosomal RNA (657 nucleotides) under uncultured bacterium. RNAcentral describes it as "bacterial SSU rRNA". It matches the Rfam family "Bacterial small subunit ribosomal RNA", at positions 188 to 848 of the family's 1533-position model. The record is from RNAcentral.
GCAUGGUUUCAUUAUUAAAGGAUUCCGGUAAAGGAUGGGGAUGCGUUCCAUUAGGUUGUUGGUGAGGUAACGGCUCACCAAGCCUUCGAUGGAUAGGGGUUCUGAGAGGAAGGUCCCCCACAUUGGAACUGAGACACGGUCCAAACUCCUACGGGAGGCAGCAGUGAGGAAUAUUGGUCAAUGGGCGGUAGCCUGAACCAGCCAAGUAGCGUGAAGGAUGAAGGCUCUAUGGGUCGUAAACUUCUUUUAUAUAAGAAUAAAGUGCAGUAUGUAUACUGUUUUGUAUGUAUUAUAUGAAUAAGGAUCGGCUAACUCCGUGCCAGCAGCCGCGGUAAUACGGAGGAUCCGAGCGUUAUCCGGAUUUAUUGGGUUUAAAGGGAGCGUAGGUGGACUGGUAAGUCAGUUGUGAAAGUUUGCGGCUCAACCGUAAAAUUGCAGUUGAUACUGUCAGUCUUGAGUACAGUAGAGGUGGGCGGAAUUCGUGGUGUAGCGGUGAAAUGCUUAGAUAUCACGAAGAACUCCGAUUGCGAAGGCAGCUCACUGGACUGCAACUGACACUGAUGCUCGAAAGUGUGGGUAUCAAACAGGAUUAGAUACCCUGGUAGUCCACACAGUAAACGAUGAAUACUCGCUGUUUGCGAUAUACAGUAAGCGGCC